GCAAAUAUUUUCUCUCUGGAUUUCUUUUCUUUCUUUUUAAAACUUUUAAUAUAAAGGAAUUUAAACUUUUACUGUUAGUCAAAUUUAUUGUUAUUUUUCUUAAUUAUCAUACCAUUACAGUGUAUUACAUUGCCUCUCUUUGUCUUCCUAUGACCCACUUAAGAUUUCCCCUUUCCAUUCAAGGGUGACAGGUCAUUCUCUUCUUCCUUUGCCUAUAGUGUUUGUCAUGUUGAUAUGUGCUUUUUGCUAUGGCCAUGAUGACUUGGAUGUUAUUGGUCUAACAUUCUACAAAGAUAUGCUAUGUACAGACUCUGCAAGCGGUUCCAGUUGAGUCCAACAGCCUCCAGGUGCCUCUCACAGUCUUACAGGAGCGACUGCUGUACAAGCUGGGAGACAAUGCCUACCCCUUUACCCUGCAAGUACUGACCCAAGUCCUGGGCAAGGUUUCCAGGGAAGAUUAAAAGAAAAAGCUAAAGAAGAACAGAAGAGAGGAGUCCUUUUUCUUCUUUCACUGACCUCAUUUUGGUUCCCUAGAUGGUUGCCAAACUACAUUGUUCAGUGACACUGCAGCCAGGUCCCAAAGGCUUGUGGGGUUGUCUUUGAAGUGAAGAGUUUCUGUGCUGAAAACCUGGAGGAGAAAAUCUCUAAGAAGUAUUCUUGGUUUCUGUGCUGAAAACCUGGAGGAGAAAAUCUCUAAGAAGUAUUCUCUAAGAAGUAUUCUUGACUAGGAAGAACCUGCCGGCACCCUACAACUGGAAAACUAAGGGAGGACAGUUUGGUGACUGGGUUUGUAGUGAUGUCAGUAAAUCUACCUUGGGAAUCGUUACAGUGAUGUUGGCAUUGAGCUGCCCCUGAUCCUGAUGCAUCCAAAGCCAUCUCACGGUGAGUCAUCAGGCAGGACUCACAGGAUCGAUUGUCUUGAGGUUUGGAGACUGAGAGCCUCUGACCUUGUGACGUGAAGACUAAGUUUGGGUAGAGAUGGUAUGUCAGUAAGCAGGAUGGGUGUAUGGGGUUUUAGGUAGUUUGUGCAGGAGGGGAAGGAUUCAAAAAGGGAAGGGAAAGAGUAAAAACUUUUCUUCAGAGAACUGAAGCCUUAUCAGCUUAAACUCCACUUUUUCCUCCCUCCCUAUGUCUGCUUCAGAGGCCGCUGGGUAAGGAAAUAAGCUUGGGAGCCCUCAUCACUACUCUGCAUUUGAUGGCAAUAGAAAUGUAGUCUUCCCCAGGCUAUUGCUUUCCAUAUAUGUGCAGAGGAAACAUACAGUUUAGCUUUCUGUCACAACUAAGUUAUUUUCAUGUGUAGUCUUUUCCCUUUCAACACCCCCCACCCUCCACCCCUGCUCUUUUUGGAAUCAUCCUUUUCCUUCAUACUUUCUAUUUCCCCUUUCCCUUUCUUCUUUCAUUCUCCCAUCCCAUCCUUCCAUCCCACUCUCUGUUCUUCUCUUGUAGCAUUCCUAGGGGACUUUUGUGUUGGGAGAGUUGAGAGGGAAAAAGUCAGAAACCAGUGUGGCCCAUGGGGUGGGGUGGGGUUGGGGUGCAACUGAGAGGAGGCCUUGAGAUUGAGCUGAGAAGCAGGGAAGGGAUCUCUUCUCUGGGGGUCAGAAGAAGGUAAUGAAUGAGACUCCUAAUCCUUCAUUCUCCCCUGCUGGAAGCUCUGAGAACAUAGUCAUCGAGGAGUUUACCUGGCAGGAGCAAAGCAGGGCAAAGAGCCAGAAAACUUUGGCGGCGGAGGGUGAUGAGGAGAGCUGAGGUGCCAAGAUCUGCCGCCCCUCUGUAUGGGAACCCUCACUGUAACGCUCUAAUAAACGCUUUUGUUCAAAUGUG
Molecule: long non-coding RNA, 1821 nt
Organism: Cavia porcellus (domestic guinea pig)
Lineage: Eukaryota; Metazoa; Chordata; Mammalia; Rodentia; Caviidae
Exons: 2
Source: RefSeq, a predicted model, not a curated record